Molecule: transfer RNA, 70 nt
Filed under: Petaurus breviceps (sugar glider)
Lineage: Eukaryota; Metazoa; Chordata; Mammalia; Diprotodontia; Petauridae
Description: tRNA-Asp
Source: RNAcentral
AAGAUAUUAGUAAUAAAUAUUACAUAACUUUGCCAUAGUUAAAUUACAGGUUUAAUCCCUGUAUAUCUUA